Molecule: ribosomal RNA, 506 nt
Filed under: Hepatozoon americanum
Lineage: Eukaryota; Apicomplexa; Hepatozoidae
Description: partial 18S ribosomal RNA
Rfam family: Eukaryotic small subunit ribosomal RNA
Source: RNAcentral
UGAUAGAAAUUUAAACACUUUUUAAAGUAUCAAUUGGAGGGCAAGUCUGGUGCCAGCAGCCGCGGUAAUUCCAGCUCCAAUAGCGUAUAUUAAAAUUGUUGCAGUUAAAAAGCUCGUAGCUGAAUUUCUGUUAAAAAUAACCGGUCUGCUUUUUUUAUUAAAAGUUGUAUCACUUUGGUGUGUUUUUAACAAUAAUAAUGUCCUUUGAAAAUGUUUUUUACUUUAUUGUAAUAAGUCAUUGUUUUGAGGAUUUUUACUUUGAGAAAAUUAGAGUGUUUUUAGCAGGCUUUUACGCUUUUGAAUACUGCAGCAUGGAAUAAUAAGAUAGGAUUUUAGUUCUACAUUAUUGGUUUUAAGAACUAAAUUAAUGAUUGAUAGGGAUAGUUGGGGGCAUUUGUAUUUAACUGUCAGAGGUGAAAUUCUUAGAUUUGUUAAAGACAAACUAUUGCGAAAGCAUUUGCCAAAGAUGUUUUCAUUAAUCAAGAACGAAAGUUAGGGGAUCGAAG